UGCAUCUGGGGCCUGUGAGGAUGAGAACCUCCGGGGGCAGGAGGUUCGACUCGAGCGAAGCGAGAGAACGUUGCGUCAGCAACGGCCCGCAGGGCGAGCCACGAAGUGGUG
RNAcentral lists this small RNA (111 nucleotides) under Klebsiella pneumoniae. RNAcentral describes it as "partial RtT sRNA". It matches the Rfam family "RtT RNA", at positions 1 to 108 of the family's 130-position model. From Rfam's summary of the family: This family represents a bacterial cis-regulatory element known as RtT RNA. The exact function of RtT is unknown although it is thought that it may be involved in changing the cellular response in relation to amino acid starvation. Lineage: Bacteria; Pseudomonadati; Pseudomonadota; Gammaproteobacteria; Enterobacterales; Enterobacteriaceae. The record is from RNAcentral.